RNAcentral lists this unclassified non-coding RNA (388 nucleotides) under fungal sp. RNAcentral's name for it is "partial internal transcribed spacer region". The stretch from base 1 to 46 matches the Rfam family "Eukaryotic small subunit ribosomal RNA", at positions 1786 to 1831 of the family's 1831-position model. Lineage: Eukaryota; Fungi. The record is from RNAcentral.
AAGUCGUAACAAGGUUUCCGUAGGUGAACCUGCGGAAGGAUCAUUAAUGCAAAUGUGUGGUUCCCGGUUUCCUCUUUCUCUGCCGGACACCUGUGUGUCCGGGAGAUUCAGAGGGUGGGAUUGCCCAUAUUGAACCCUCUUAAAACGCUCGACUUUUGUUCAUUUAAUUGACCAGAAGCUCGACGUCACAAGUAACCAGAGACUUUUUCUUUUCUGUUCGGGUUUCUGCUAGCGGAAUCCGGAAAGAAGAGGGAAAUGUUCUCUACCAUUUUUUACACCAUAAUUACCCUAUUCUAUAAACUAUUAGACUGAUAUAACAUUCACAUUUUCACAAUGUGAAACAUAAAAAAAAUAAGAACAACUCUUAGCAAUGGAUAUCUAGGCUCUC